This 89-nucleotide transfer RNA is filed under the name Nanobdellota archaeon. RNAcentral describes it as "tRNA-Leu". It matches the Rfam family "tRNA". Rfam says of the family: Transfer RNA (tRNA) molecules are approximately 80 nucleotides in length. Lineage: Archaea; Nanobdellati; Nanobdellota. The record is from RNAcentral.
GCGGGAGUUGCCAAGCUAGGUCUAAGGCGCUGGGCUUAGGACCCAGUUGAUUAGUUCAUUCGCAGGUUCAAAUCCUGCCUCCCGCACCA